GUAUCCCUACGUGGUAUCAGAGCCGUAGCUAUUUUGUUAUGGAUUUGGGAUGUGUGCAUAUGGCGAUAUGCGAGUUUUCAGAUUGAUCUAUGGUCUUUUUUCGUGUUCUUGCUGCAAUGGUCGUGUAACGACAUACUCCUACCGGUCGGAUUUCCGCCAUCAGUGUUAUGUGAUACACGUAAUGCUAGUUGCAGUGAGCGAAGAUCAAUGUGAUUGGUUGAAUCGAAAUCUAGAUUCAUACGCUAGGCACAUGAGAUAUGCAAUAGUAGAUUUGAUCUACUACCGGGUCGGAAUUUUGCCAUAUGCGUGUGCUUCAGUAAAACAGCAGU
Molecule: long non-coding RNA, 329 nt
Filed under: Setaria viridis
Lineage: Eukaryota; Viridiplantae; Streptophyta; Magnoliopsida; Poales; Poaceae
Description: long non-coding RNA (SVIR_LNC001865)
Source: RNAcentral